GCCGCGGUAGCUCAGACGGUAGAGCGCAGGACUGAAAUUCCUGGCGGCGGAGGUUCAACUCCUCCCCGUGGCACCA
RNAcentral lists this transfer RNA (76 nucleotides) under Ramlibacter sp. RNAcentral's name for it is "tRNA-Phe". It matches the Rfam family "tRNA". From Rfam's summary of the family: Transfer RNA (tRNA) molecules are approximately 80 nucleotides in length. Their secondary structure includes four short double-helical elements and three loops (D, anti-codon, and T loops). Lineage: Bacteria; Pseudomonadati; Pseudomonadota; Betaproteobacteria; Burkholderiales; Comamonadaceae. The record is from RNAcentral.